This 435-nucleotide long non-coding RNA is filed under the name Gorilla gorilla gorilla (western lowland gorilla). Its description in RNAcentral is "lncRNA (ENSGGOG00000044545.1)". Lineage: Eukaryota; Metazoa; Chordata; Mammalia; Primates; Hominidae. The record is from RNAcentral.
GAACGUUUUCUCAUUUCCAUGUCCAGAAAGAUAUAUUCCUGCUACCCUCCUGAAGUCAGAGGAUGAAAUCAUAGUCAAUACAUCUUUGCAGAUAAACUGUUAGAUUUCAUACUAGGACCUUUCAGUGGCUGAACAAAGACAAAGACAGAAAUCAAGGAAGGUCAAAGAAGCAGUCAAUUUUCUGGCACCCAAAGUUGUUGGAGAAGGGUACAGAGUCGGUAAAUAAGCCAUAUGACAGACAGGCAGUAUUUUCUUAUUUUAAUAACAAGUUUAAAAAUCCCACUUCUUGUACUUACCUUCUGUCUGAUGUCAUCAGUAUUUUAAGAUGCCAACUGGGAACAAGUUCAACACUGCAUUACUGAAGAAUCCAGAUUAUCUACAUCUCACGUGCCAAAUGAAAGAAAGAACCCAGAAAAUAAAACAAUAUGAUGAUAA